Molecule: microRNA precursor, 100 nt
Filed under: Arabidopsis thaliana (thale cress)
Lineage: Eukaryota; Viridiplantae; Streptophyta; Magnoliopsida; Brassicales; Brassicaceae
Description: MIR1888 microRNA precursor family
Rfam family: MIR1888 microRNA precursor family
Source: Rfam by way of RNAcentral
CCAAAUCUUAAGCUAAGAUUUGUGAAGAAAUAGCUCUUAUAAAAGAGUUUUUACACUUAUAUUUAAGUUUUUUCUUUACAAAUCUUAUCUUAAGAUUUGG